Regulatory RNA element from Rahnella aquatilis, 120 nucleotides. It matches the Rfam family "RtT RNA". Rfam says of the family: This family represents a bacterial cis-regulatory element known as RtT RNA. The exact function of RtT is unknown although it is thought that it may be involved in changing the cellular response in relation to amino acid starvation. The record is from Rfam. Lineage: Bacteria; Pseudomonadati; Pseudomonadota; Gammaproteobacteria; Enterobacterales; Yersiniaceae.
AAUGCAGUAAAGCAGUGCAGGAUGAGAACCCCUGGUUCGAGCCGAGCGAAGCGAGACGACAACGCGUAAGCGUUGCCCGCAGGGCGAGGUGAAACCGAGUCAAUCCAGCACGGCCCACCA